GACGAACGCUGGCGGCGUGCUUAACACAUGCAAGUCGAACGGAAAGGCCCUGCUUUUGUGGGGUGCUCGAGUGGCGAACGGGUGAGUAACACGUGAGUAACCUGCCCUUGACUUUGGGAUAACUUCAGGAAACUGGGGCUAAUACCGGAUAGGAGCUCCUGCUGCAUGGUGGGGGUUGGAAAGUUUCGGCGGUUGGGGAUGGACUCGCGGCUUAUCAGCUUGUUGGUGGGGUAGUGGCUUACCAAGGCUUUGACGGGUAGCCGGCCUGAGAGGGUGACCGGCCACAUGGGGACUGAGAUACGGCCCAGACUCCUACGGGAGGCAGCAGUGGGGAAUAUUGCACAAUGGGCGGAAGCCUGAUGCGGCAACGCCGCGUGCGGGAUGACGGCCUUCGGGUUGUAAACCGCUUUCGCCUGUGACGAAGCGUGAGUGACGGUAAUGGGUAAAGAAGCACCGGCUAACUACGUG
Molecule: ribosomal RNA, 468 nt
Filed under: uncultured bacterium
Lineage: Bacteria
Description: partial 16S ribosomal RNA
Rfam family: Bacterial small subunit ribosomal RNA
Source: RNAcentral